CCUGCACUUUAUCGUGAACUUUGUUUAGUUUUGAGAGGUCUACUCUCAAACUUGUUCUUUGAAAACUAGAUAAUAUCUUUUAUUUCUUUGUUAAUUAAAAUAACCGAGAACACCGCGUUUUAAAGAGUUUAAAANAUUAAUGUUUAAUCGCUAAACUCAUAACCAUUAUCGUAAGAUAAUAUA
This 183-nucleotide unclassified non-coding RNA is filed under the name Ligilactobacillus animalis. RNAcentral describes it as "Lactobacillus animalis miscellaneous RNA". The record is from RNAcentral. Lineage: Bacteria; Bacillati; Bacillota; Bacilli; Lactobacillales; Lactobacillaceae.